UACGUAGGGUGCGAGCGUUAAUCGGAAUUACUGGGCGUAAAGCGUGCGAAGGCGGUUUUGUAAGCCAGAUGUGAAAUCCCCGGGCUUAACCUGGGAAUGGCAUUUGGGACUGCAAGGCUUGAGUGCGGCAGAGGAGACUGGAAUUCCUGGUGUAGCAGUGAAAUGCGUAGAUAUCAGGAGGAACACCGCUCGCGAAGGCAGGUCUCUGGGCUGACACUGACGCUCAUGCCCGAAAGCGUGGGGAGCAAACAGG
Molecule: ribosomal RNA, 253 nt
Filed under: uncultured bacterium
Lineage: Bacteria
Description: partial 16S ribosomal RNA
Rfam family: Bacterial small subunit ribosomal RNA
Source: RNAcentral